This 23-nucleotide microRNA is filed under the name Lottia gigantea (owl limpet). RNAcentral's name for it is "Lgi-Mir-7_3p* (star (passenger))". Lineage: Eukaryota; Metazoa; Mollusca; Gastropoda; Lottiidae. The record is from RNAcentral.
CAAUAAAUCACAUUCUUCCCAGA